GGGAGCUUAGUUAAGUGGCAUAACGGGCGUCUCCAAAACGCCGGUCGGGGGUUCGAUUCCCUCAGCUCCCGCAA
Molecule: transfer RNA, 74 nt
Filed under: Candidatus Yanofskybacteria bacterium RIFCSPHIGHO2_01_FULL_44_17
Lineage: Bacteria; Candidatus Yanofskyibacteriota
Description: tRNA-Trp
Rfam family: tRNA
About the family: Transfer RNA (tRNA) molecules are approximately 80 nucleotides in length. Their secondary structure includes four short double-helical elements and three loops (D, anti-codon, and T loops).
Source: RNAcentral